UACGUAGGGUGCAAGCGUUGUCCGGAAUUAUUGGGCGUAAAGAGCUCGUAGGCGGUUUGUCGCGUCUGCUGUGAAAACUCAGGGCUUAACCCUGAGCCUGCAGUGGGUACGGGCAGACUAGAGUGUGGUAGGGGAGAUCGGAAUUCCUGGUGUAGCGGUGAAAUGCGCAGAUAUCAGGAGGAACACCGGUGGCGAAGGCGGAUCUCUGGGCCGAUACUGACGCUGAGGAGCGAAAGCGUGGGGAGCGAACAGG
Molecule: ribosomal RNA, 253 nt
Filed under: uncultured bacterium
Lineage: Bacteria
Description: partial 16S ribosomal RNA
Rfam family: Bacterial small subunit ribosomal RNA
Source: RNAcentral